RNAcentral lists this ribosomal RNA (468 nucleotides) under uncultured bacterium. RNAcentral describes it as "partial 16S ribosomal RNA". It matches the Rfam family "Bacterial small subunit ribosomal RNA", at positions 28 to 507 of the family's 1533-position model. The record is from RNAcentral.
GACGAACGCUGGCGGCGUGCUUAACACAUGCAAGUCGAACGGAAAGGCCCUGCUUUUGUGGGGUGCUCGAGUGGCGAACGGGUGAGUAACACGUGAGUAACCUGCCCUUGACUUUCGGAUAACUUCAGGAAACUGGGGCUAAUACCGGAUAGGAGCUCCUGCUGCAUGGUGGGGGUUGGAAAGUUUCGGCGGUUGGGGAUGGACUCGCGGCUUAUCAGCUUGUUGGUGGGGUAGUGGCUUACCAAGGCUUUGACGGGUAGCCGGCCUGAGAGGGUGACCGGCGACAUUGGGACUAAGAGAGGGCCCAGACUGCAAUGGGAGGCAGUGGUGGGGAAUAUGACACAGUGAGCGGAAGCCUGAGACAGAGACGCCGCGUGCGGGAUGACGGCCUUCGGGUUAUGAACCGCUUUCGCCUGUGACGAAGCGUGAGUGACGGUAAUGGGUAAAGAAGCACCGGCUAACUACGUG